UACGUAGGGUGCAAGCGUUGUCCGGAAUUAUUGGGCGUAAAGAGCUCGUAGGUGGCCUGUCGCGUCGGCUGUGAAAACUCGAGGCUCAACCUCGAGACGCCGAUGGAAACCAUCAGACUAGAGUCCGGAAGAGGAGAGUGGAAUUCCUGGUGUAGCGGUGAAAUGCGCAGAUAUCAGGAAGAACACCCGUGGCUAAGGCGGCUCUCUAGUACGGUACUGACGCUGAGACGCGAAAGCGUGGGGAGCGAACAGG
RNAcentral lists this ribosomal RNA (253 nucleotides) under uncultured bacterium. RNAcentral describes it as "partial 16S ribosomal RNA". It matches the Rfam family "Bacterial small subunit ribosomal RNA", at positions 524 to 776 of the family's 1533-position model. The record is from RNAcentral.